UAAUGCCUAGGAAAUUGCCCUGAUGUGGGGGAUAACCAUUGGAAACGAUGGCUAAUACCGCAUGAUGCCUACGGGCCAAAGAGGGGGACCUUCGGGCCUCUCGCGUCAGGAUAUGCCUAGGUGGGAUUAGCUAGUUGGUGAGGUAAGGGCUCACCAAGGCGACGAUCCCUAGCUGGUCUGAGAGGAUGAUCAGCCACACUGGAACUGAGACACGGUCCAGACUCCUACGGGAGGCAGCAGUGGGGAAUAUUGCACAAUGGGCGCAAGCCUGAUGCAGCCAUGCCGCGUGUGUGAAGAAGGCCUUCGGGUUGUAAAGCACUUUCAGUCGUGAGGAAGGUAGUGUAGUUAAUAGCUGCAUUAUUUGACGUUAGCGACAGAAGAAGCACCGGCUAACUCCGUGCCAGCAGCCGCGGUAAUACGGAGGGUGCGAGCGUUAAUCGGAAUUACUGGGCGUAAAGCGCAUGCAGGUGGUUUGUUAAGUCAGAUGUGAAAGCCCGGGGCUCAACCUCGGAAUUGCAUUUGAAACUGGCAGACUAGAGUACUGUAGAGGGGGGUAGAAUUUCAGGUGUAGCGGUGAAAUGCGUAGAGAUCUGAAGGAAUACCGGUGGCGAAGGCGGCCCCCUGGACAGAUACUGACACUCAGAUGCGAAAGCGUGGGGAGCAAACAGGAUUAGAUACCCUGGUAGUCCACGCCGUAAACGAUGUCUACUUGGAGGUUGUGGCCUUGAGCCGUGGCUUUCGGAGCUAACGCGUUAAGUAGACCGCCUGGGGAGUACGGUCGCAAGAUUAAAACUCAAAUGAAUUGACGGGGGCCCGCACAAGCGGUGGAGCAUGUGGUUUAAUUCGAUGCAACGCGAAGAACCUUACCUACUCUUGACAUCCAGAGAACUUUCCAGAGAUGGAUUGGUGCCUUCGGGAACUCUGAGACAGGUGCUGCAUGGCUGUCGUCAGCUCGUGUUGUGAAAUGUUGGGUUAAGUCCCGCAACGAGCGCAACCCUUAUCCUUGUUUGCCAGCGAGUAAUGUCGGGAACUCCAGGGAGACUGCCGGUGAUAAACCGGAGGAAGGUGGGGACGACGUCAAGUCAUCAUGGCCCUUACGAGUAGGGCUACACACGUGCUACAAUGGCGCAUACAGAGGGCGGCCAACUUGCGAAAGUGAGCGAAUCCCAAAAAGUGCGUCGUAGUCCGGAUUGGAGUCUGCAACUCGACUCCAUGAAGUCGGAAUCGCUAGUAAUCGUGGAUCAGAAUGCCACGGUGAAUACGUUCCCGGGCCUUGUACACACCGCCCGUCACACCAUGGGAGUGGGCUGCAAAAGAAGUAGGU
Molecule: ribosomal RNA, 1324 nt
Filed under: Vibrio alginolyticus
Lineage: Bacteria; Pseudomonadati; Pseudomonadota; Gammaproteobacteria; Vibrionales; Vibrionaceae
Description: bacterial SSU rRNA
Rfam family: Bacterial small subunit ribosomal RNA
Source: RNAcentral